GACGAACGCUGGCGGCGUGCUUAACACAUGCAAGUCGAACGGAAAGGCCCUGCUUUUGUGGGGUGCUCGAGUGGCGAACGGGUGAGUAACACGUGAGUAACCUGCCCUUGACUUUGGGAUAACUUCAGGAAACUGGGGCUAACACCGGAUAGGAGCUCCUGCUGCAUGGUGGGGGUUGGAAAGUUUCGGCGGUUGGGGAUGGACUCGCGGCUUAUCAGCUUGUUGGUGGGGUAGUGGCUUACCAAGGCUUUGACGGGUAGCCGGCCUGAGAGGGUGACCGGCCACAUUGGGACUGAGAUACGGCCCAGACGCCUACGGGAGGCAGCAGUGGGGAAUAUUGCAAGAUGGGCGGAAGCCUGAUGCAGCAACGCCGCGUGCGGGAUGACGGCCUUCGGGUUGUAAACCGCGUUAGCCUGGGACGAAGCGUGAGUGACGGUAAUGGGUAAAGAAGCACCGGCUAACUACGUG
RNAcentral lists this ribosomal RNA (468 nucleotides) under uncultured bacterium. RNAcentral's name for it is "partial 16S ribosomal RNA". It matches the Rfam family "Bacterial small subunit ribosomal RNA", at positions 28 to 507 of the family's 1533-position model. The record is from RNAcentral.